This 253-nucleotide ribosomal RNA is filed under the name uncultured bacterium. RNAcentral describes it as "partial 16S ribosomal RNA". It matches the Rfam family "Bacterial small subunit ribosomal RNA", at positions 524 to 776 of the family's 1533-position model. The record is from RNAcentral.
UACGGAGGGUGCAAGCGUUAUCCGGAUUCACUGGGUUUAAAGGGUGCGUAGGUGGGCAGUUAAGUCAGUGGUGAAAUCUCCGGGCUUAACCCGGAAACUGCCAUUGAUACUAUUUAUCUUGAAUACUUUGGAGGUAAGCGGAAUAUGUCAUGUAGCGGUGAAAUGCUUAGAUAUGACAUAGAACACCAAUUGCGAAGGCAGCUUACUACACAGUUAUUGACACUGAGGCACGAAAGCGUGGGGAUCAAACAGG